Molecule: long non-coding RNA, 2452 nt
Organism: Cygnus olor (mute swan)
Lineage: Eukaryota; Metazoa; Chordata; Aves; Anseriformes; Anatidae
Exons: 2
Source: RefSeq, a predicted model, not a curated record
GGGCCCGCCCCGCGCAGGGUCCCGCCGCCCGCCGGCUGCGCUGAGCCGGGCGCCCCCAGCGCUGCGGAGGAGGCGGCCCGUGCCCCUUGCCGUGCGCAGCGCCUUGUCCACAGCGCUCUGCUUCUGCCUGUGAAUCGUUUCCGUCCUUCAGAAGAAGCCGGUGGCACUUUGCCGUGCGGUAACGAACUGUUCGUUUGCGGCUGGUGUUUGUACCGGUGGCUGCAGCCCCCGGCUGCGGGGGCUCCUCUGCGGAGGAAGGGGAACUCCCUAAGGGCAGUGCCCACGCCCGGGGACCCUCCUUAAAGCCCCAUGGGGCAGCGACUCCUGGGGGAGGCUGCGGCUCCGCUGAGGAUUCACGGUCCUGAAGUUCACACGUUGCAUCUUUUAAGUGGUAAUGACGGUUUUCUCACGGUUAGGUGGAGCGGGAUGGGUGACCCGUUCGGUGAUAAACUAGAGCUGGUUGAUACGGCGGUGCACUGAAGGUCAAGAAGAAGGUUGCUCAAGGGCAUAGAGUGGUAACCAGUUAGAAUUAGAGGAAGUGGGAACAGAUAAGAGGAAGUUGCUAGGCUCGGACGAGCCUAUAGAGAGGGGCAAGACCUACGCAUGAUCAAAAGGAAUGCACCAAUCGCAAGUCUGUACCUAUGCAUGCUAGCCGCGUGUAGCUGGCUCAGAAGCUAUAGAAUAUCUUGCAUCGGAACAAUAAAGGGUCUCCAUUUCUCGACUUUCUUGGAGUCCGUGUCUCCUUUCCCUUCAAAUGGUGACCGCGACGUGAUUUGCGGAGGAGCAGCGCUGCAAGGAGCGUCCGAAGGGAACCCAGCCGAACGAGGCAAGCUCGCAGCCGGACUGCAGCUUCAACCCCGGGACAUCACCUGGAAGGCAGGACAAGGACCACGAUGGGUGCAGCCUGUGGCAUGCGACCUUGGUUGGGACAACCGCCCUCCUCCACCUCUGCAGUUUUGGUGCCGCAUGGGUCUCAAUCCAGCCCAGAUGAAACAUUUGGGUCACCCUCGCCAACAUGACGGAACAGGACCAUGUGUGUCUCUCUAUGGCCAGCGCGGGCAAUCCAUUCACGACCUGCUUGGUCGGGAUUCCGCUAUCAGAUAACGAACUUACAGCUUCGGUCAACAGUAUGGGAAUAGGGGCAAUCCUUACGGCAGGGUGGAACGCCUCUGAUACAGGAAAUGCCUCUAGGGAGGCAAUGAACAACUGGGAUGGCUGGGCUGCCAACUUACCGAUAGCCCCGUUAGAGCCUCAGGAGCUAGACAUCUUAGGGAGGGUUAAUGCACUUGCCUGCCUAAAAUUCAAUUAUACUGGGAAAAAUAUCACCGCGGUCAAUAUAACGGCUAAUCUAUCUGUAUACCAGAAUGAAUCUGAAUGGUGCAAUUACACCACCCCUAAUAUAUCGAGGUCCUCAAAUGCACCCUUGGCCUUGCCAACCGGAGUGUGCCUUAUUUGCGGGGACCGAGCUUGGCAAGGUAUUCCCUCUCAUAUUGUAGGAGGACCUUGCACCUUGGGACGCUUAACCUUAUUGACACCCAACACGUCUAUGAUCUUGAAUAUCACCAAGAUCCAUGGACGACCAAAAUGAUCAGUUAAUCAUUUCCAGGAAGACUGUAGGAAUAAUUUGGAUUUUUGGGAGGCAGAUAAAGUUAUCGCAGCCUCCAUCCUUGCACCUGGUGUCGCUGUCUCCCAUGCCUUGACAACGCUUAAUAAAUUAGGGUGUUGGCUUGCCAAACAAAACAAUGCCACGUCUGCUGCAUUAAGUGCUUUGCUGGCAGAUACGGAUUCCAUUAUGCACGCCACUCUGCAAAAUAGAGCAGCUAUUGAUUUUCUGCUAUUAGCCCAAGGUCAUGGGUGUGAAGAAUUUGAAGGCAUGUGCUUUAUGAAUCUGAGCAACAAUUCUCAGAUGGUAUUUCUUAAAAAAAUGAAUGAGUUGUCUGAUAAGCUAACGACAAGCUCACUGGGAUUGCAGGCAUGGCUAAAAGGAUUAGGAAUAACUGGGUGGUUGAUGGAGUUGAUAAAAGGGGUGCUUAUUUUGCUUAUUGCAUUUGUUGCAAUUAUAGUAGUUGUACCGUGCCUGUUGCAAUGUUUGCAAAAAAUGAUUAAUCGCUCAAUAUGCACGAUGUGGGUUGUAGAAACAAAAAAAGAGGGAAUUAUGGGUGACCCGUUCGGUGAUAAACUAGAGCUGAUUGAUACGGCGGUGCACUAAAGGUCAAGAAGAAGGUUACUCAAGGGCAUAGAGUGGUAACCAGUUAGAAUUAGAGGAAGUGGGAACAGAUAAGAGGAAGUUGCUAGGCUCGGACGAGCCUAUAGAGAGGGGCAAGACCUACGCAUGAUCAAAAGGAAUGCACCAAUCGCAAGUCUGUACCUAUGCAUGCUAGCCGCGUGUAGCUGGCUCAGAAGCUAUAGAAUACCUUGCAUUGGAACAAUAAAGGGUCUCCAUUUCUCGACU